Molecule: ribosomal RNA, 253 nt
Filed under: uncultured bacterium
Lineage: Bacteria
Description: partial 16S ribosomal RNA
Rfam family: Bacterial small subunit ribosomal RNA
Source: RNAcentral
UACGGGGGGAGCAAGCGUUGUUCGGAUUUACUGGGCGUAAAGGGCGCGUAGGCGGCGCAACAAGUCACUUGUGAAAUCUCCGGGCUUAACCCGGAGCGGUCAAGUGAUACUGUCGUGCUAGAGUGCGGAAGGGGCAACUGGAAUCCUCGGUGUAGCGGUGAAAUGCGUAGAUAUCGAGAGGAACACCGGUGGCGAAGGCGGGUCUCUGGGCCGUAACUGACGCUGAGGAGCGAAAGCAUGGGGAGCGAACAGG